CCCCCUUCCUCUCUCCUCUGCCGGUGCCGCUGGCCGGAGUGAGAGAGGAAGGGGAGUAUGUGCGUCCCUACCUAGUAGACUCUUUCCCGUCGUCCUUUCGGCGGUUCUUCUUGGAGAAAUCCCGUCCAUGGCUGCCUUGGAAUCCCCUUCUCUGUCUCCAGCGGAAGAGGCGAACAAGAGCCAGGCCUGGAGUGCUCCUCCUCUUCUUCUGUUUCUUUCCAAAAAAGCCACCUCCUGGUUGAUUUGCUCUCCGGUGAAUUUUUUUUCCUCCACCUUCCCGCU
RNAcentral lists this long non-coding RNA (282 nucleotides) under Brachypodium distachyon (stiff brome). RNAcentral's name for it is "long non-coding RNA (BDIS_LNC003813)". Lineage: Eukaryota; Viridiplantae; Streptophyta; Magnoliopsida; Poales; Poaceae. The record is from RNAcentral.